Molecule: ribosomal RNA, 617 nt
Filed under: uncultured bacterium
Lineage: Bacteria
Description: bacterial SSU rRNA
Rfam family: Bacterial small subunit ribosomal RNA
Source: RNAcentral
CCUACGGGAGGCAGCAGUGGGGAAUAUUGGACAAUGGGCGAAAGCCUGAUCCAGCAAUUCCGCGUGUGUGAAGAAGGCCUUCGGGUUGUAAAGCACUUUAGGUUGGGAAGAAAAAGCUUCGGUGAAUAUCCGGAGUGUUGACGGUACCAACAGAAUAAGCACCGGCUAACUCUGUGCCAGCAGCCGCGGUAAUACAGAGGGUGCAAGCGUUAAUCGGAUUUACUGGGCGUAAAGCGUGCGCAGGUGGUUUCGUAAGUCGGAUGUGAAAGCCCCGGGCUCAACCUGGGAACUGCGUUCGAUACUGCGAGACUAGAGUUUGGUAGAGGGUGGCGGAAUUCCCGGUGUAGCGGUGAAAUGCGUAGAUAUCGGGAGGAACAUCAAUGGCGAAGGCAGCCACCUGGGCCUGAACUGACACUGAGGCACGAAAGCGUGGGUAGCAAACAGGAUUAGAUGCCCUGGUAGUCCACGCCGUAAACGAUGAGAACUUGACGUUGGUUCGUUUUACGAUCGGUGUCGUAGCUAACGCGAUAAGUUCUCCGCCUGGGGAUACGGCCGCAAAGGUUGAAACUCAAAUGAAUUGACGGCUGAAGAGNGCGACGACGACGACGAGGGAGAGG